RNAcentral lists this ribosomal RNA (435 nucleotides) under uncultured Eubacteriales bacterium. RNAcentral describes it as "bacterial SSU rRNA". It matches the Rfam family "Bacterial small subunit ribosomal RNA", at positions 77 to 523 of the family's 1533-position model. The record is from RNAcentral. Lineage: Bacteria; Bacillati; Bacillota; Clostridia; Eubacteriales.
CCUUAGGGCGAAGAUAGUACAGGACAGUGGCGGAUGGGUGAGUAACGCGUAAGAAACCUGCCUUUCACACCGGGAUAGCAGCUGGAAACGGCUAUUAAUACCGGAUGACACUUUUUCCCCGCAUGAGGAAGAGGUUAAAGAAUUUCGGUGAAAGAUGGUCUUGCGUCUGAUUAGCUAGUUGGUGGGGUAACGGCCUACCAAGGCGACGAUCAGUAGCCGGCCUGAGAGGGUGUACGGCCACAUUGGGACUGAGACACGGCCCAAACUCCUACGGGAGGCAGCAGUGGGGAAUUUGGCACAAUGGAGGAAACUCUGAUGCAGCGACGCCGCGUGAACGAAGAAGGUCUUCGGAUUGUAAAGUUCUGUCCUGGGUGAAGAUAAUGACGGUAACUCAGGAGGAAGCCCCGGCUAACUACGUGCCAGCAGCCGCGGUAA